GAUGAACGCUGGCGGCGCGCCUAACACAUGCAAGUCGAACGGUUAAAGCACCUUUUAGGUGUGUAUAAAGUGGCGAACGGCGAGUAACACGUGGGCAACCUGCCCUCCUCUUGGGGAUAGCCUCGGGAAACCGAGGAUAAUACCCGAUACUUCAAUGUGGCCGCAUGACGACAUUGAGAAAGCUUUUGCGGAGAAGGAUGGGCCCGCGGCCUGUUAGCUUGUUGGUGGGGUAGAGGCCUACCAAGGCAAUGAUGGGUAGCUGGGUUGAGAGACCGACCAGCCAGAUUGGGACUGAGACACGGCCCAGACUCCUACGGGAGGCAGCAGUGGGGAAUCUUGCACAAUGGGCGAAAGCCUGAUGCAGCGACGCCGCGUGCGGGACGAAGGCCUUCGGGUUGUAAACCGCUUUCAGCAGGGAC
Molecule: ribosomal RNA, 419 nt
Filed under: Lancefieldella rimae
Lineage: Bacteria; Bacillati; Actinomycetota; Coriobacteriia; Coriobacteriales; Atopobiaceae
Description: bacterial SSU rRNA
Rfam family: Bacterial small subunit ribosomal RNA
Source: RNAcentral